RNAcentral lists this ribosomal RNA (448 nucleotides) under uncultured bacterium. RNAcentral's name for it is "bacterial SSU rRNA". It matches the Rfam family "Bacterial small subunit ribosomal RNA", at positions 94 to 541 of the family's 1533-position model. The record is from RNAcentral.
AGUGGCGCACGGGUGCGUAACGCGUAUGCAACCUACCCUUUACAGGGGGAUAGCCCGGAGAAAUUCGGAUUAAUACCCCAUAGUAUUAUUCUAUGGCAUCGUAAAAUAAUUAAAGAUUUAUUGGUAAAGGAUGGGCAUGCGUGACAUUAGCUAGUUGGUAAGGUAAUGGCUUACCAAGGCGACGAUGUCUAGGGGUUCUGAGAGGAUGAUCCCCCACACUGGCACUGAGAUACGGGCCAGACUCCUACGGGAGGCAGCAGUAGGGAAUAUUGGUCAAUGGGCGAGAGCCUGAACCAGCCAUGCCGCGUGCAGGAAGACGGCCUUCUGGGUUGUAAACUGCUUUUAUCAGGGAACAAAUAGCUCCUGCGGGAGAAGUUGAGUGUACCUGAAGAAUAAGCACCGGCUAACUCCGUGCCAGCAGCCGCGGUAAUACGGAGGGUGCCAGCGU